AACGAACGCUGGCGGCGUGGAUAAGACAUGCAAGUCGAGCGCUGAUUACGGGGUAGCAAUAUUCCGUGGUCGGAGCGGCGCAAGGGUGCGUAACACGUGGGUAAUCUGCCAUGAAGUUUGGAAUAACCUGCUGAAAGGCGGGCUAAUACCGGAUGUGAAAAUUGAGAGGCAUCUUUUGAUUUUCAAAGUUGGGGACCGUAAGGCCUGACGCUUCAUGAUGAGCCCGCGGCCUAUCAGCUAGUUGGUGAGGUAACGGCCCACCAAGGCUAAGACGGGUAGCUGGUCUGAGAGGACGACCAGCCACACUGGAACUGAGACACGGUCCAGACACCUACGGGAGGCUG
This 344-nucleotide ribosomal RNA is filed under the name uncultured Verrucomicrobiota bacterium. RNAcentral describes it as "bacterial SSU rRNA". It matches the Rfam family "Bacterial small subunit ribosomal RNA", at positions 29 to 351 of the family's 1533-position model. The record is from RNAcentral. Lineage: Bacteria; Pseudomonadati; Verrucomicrobiota.